AUUGAGCACUGACUCUGUGCCAGGCACUGUGCUAAGUGAUUUGCAUGUAGUGUCUCGUCCAGUCCUCCCAACAAACACAUCUGGGAAGCUGUAAAUGUGUUGUCCUCUCAAAGCCAGCUCCUGCCUCAUGGUGUUUCUAUUUUGGCCCAGAGAUGUUAUGAACAACAUCUGCCAGACGUUGGAACCAACGUCCAUUCUUCUCUGGUGCAGUGGACAGGACCUGGGUCUCAAACACAAUAAGCUAACUACAUCACUGGGGAGGAGAAGCCUGAAUCUACUGCUGAUGCCCAAGAGACCAUCAGACCAGAUGCCAAGCAUCUCAUCAAAGAGGACACAAAACUGAGGACAACUUCGCAUUUUGGACCCAGAGGGACUAAAAGAAUCUAGUUGCUCAAUUAGAAGACACUUCACCUGCCCAUUCUCAUUGGUGAGUGCACGUUCAUAGUCUUUGUUCUCAGCAGUGUCUGCAAUUGUUAGC
Molecule: long non-coding RNA, 478 nt
Filed under: Felis catus (domestic cat)
Lineage: Eukaryota; Metazoa; Chordata; Mammalia; Carnivora; Felidae
Description: lncRNA (ENSFCAG00000042299.2)
Source: RNAcentral